UACGUAGGGUGCGAGCGUUAAUCGGAAUUACUGGGCGUAGAGCGUGCGCAGGCGGUUUCGUAAGCUGGAGGUGAAAUCCCCGGGCUUAACCUGGGAAUGGCCUUCAGGACUGCGAGGCUAGAGUGCGGCAGAGGGAGGUGGAAUUCCACGUGUAGCAGUGAAAUGCGUAGAGAUGUGGAGGAACACCGAUGGCGAAGGCAGCCUCCUGGGCCAGCACUGACGCUCAUGCACGAAAGCGUGGGGAGCAAACAGG
RNAcentral lists this ribosomal RNA (253 nucleotides) under uncultured prokaryote. Its description in RNAcentral is "partial 16S ribosomal RNA". It matches the Rfam family "Bacterial small subunit ribosomal RNA", at positions 524 to 776 of the family's 1533-position model. The record is from RNAcentral.